CAGUCGCCACGGGAACACGUAGGGUGCGAGCGUUAAUCGGAAUUACUGGGCGUAAAGCGUGCGCAGGCGGUUGUGUAAGACAGGUGUGAAAUCCCCGGGCUUAACCUGGGAACUGCGCUUGUGACUGCACAGCUAGAGUAUGGCAGAGGGGGGUGGAAUUCCACGUGUAGCAGUGAAAUGCGUAGAGAUGUGGAGGAACACCGAUGGCGAAGGCAGCCUGCUGGGCCAAUACUGACGCUCAUGCACGAAAGCGUGGGGAGCAAACAGGAUUAGAUACCCCCGUAGUCCCUGUCUCUUAUAC
This 301-nucleotide ribosomal RNA is filed under the name uncultured bacterium. RNAcentral describes it as "partial 16S ribosomal RNA". It matches the Rfam family "Bacterial small subunit ribosomal RNA", at positions 509 to 807 of the family's 1533-position model. The record is from RNAcentral.